CUUAUGGGUUGCGUAACUUCCGACCAUGCGCUCUGCGGAGGCUGUGGGUGCUUCGGCCAUUUUGGAAGAGGGCAAACUUCUUUGCCUGGUCUGCGAGUCUAAGAAAGGUUUUACUGGGGAUGCAUGCAACAGUGUGAGACCUCUGGUUCUGAGAAUGGCAUUGGUUCACGCCUCAAGCCUCCUGAUAUGUUGGUGUUCGUGCUUCAUAGGAACAGAUUCCUUUGCUCACUUGAUUAUUAAUUGAUCCUGCCCUUCAUUCAGCUAAGCCUUCAUCUGAGACCUCCAACAUUCCAGCAUGGGUCACCCUAUUUCAGAACGUCCAAUGUGCAUGAGGACUACAACUCAUGUGCCAGAAGAUGCUUGUUUUGAAGGUUUUAUUUUUAGUCUCACAACAUGGAUUUUCUUUAGAACAAGGGCCAUUGUCUUUUCUUUCUUAUUUUCAUUUUAUCAGUAAAUAGAUGAACAAAUUAAUUACAAAUUAAAAUAAAUAUUGAACAAAAAAUAAUUGUCUGACAUAACUUAUUUGACGCAAUUUUGCAUGUUUGAAGAUUUUCUCAAUCAUAAUCAUAAGAACCUUAGUUCUAUUGGAAGUGCUUAUAAUCAUAAACAAAGACUUGUUUUCAGUUCUGUUUAUCGCUUUUGUUGUAUAAUGAGAGUUUCGAAACUUGGAUUAUCUUCUGUGAGAAACACGUGUUCAUUUUUUUAUGCUUCUUGUCACUCUUUGGAGGUGUUUUGUAUUUGCCACAAGCCUGUGUUUAUUACAUUAGCAUCUUAAUCAGAAGGCCUGUCUUUCUAUUUUCUCCUCUGAACCUGUUGAAUAAAAUGUCACGUGGGCUUCCCCCAUGUCUAUUCUGAAUUUCUAAUUUACCCAGGACUCGAGAUCUCAUCAAUGUGCUGCUUUGUAUUCUGCUGAUUUUUCAAGCUUAGAUGGAGAACUCUUUCUUUAAAGCACGGUGCACAUGUCUGAGCAACACAAGAAUCCUGAUCUAGCUAUGGAAAAAUACAGAAAAAGUUCAAGCUAGACCAAUCCAAGGCUCUGGCCCACUUGCCUGUCACUUAACAGUACAGGAAACACAGGUCGGAAUUUUGAUCUAUGAAGAAUUCAACCUGAAAAUUAAUUCAGGGCUGGACAUAUUUGAACUUUCUUCUAAACUAAAACAAAUUGUGAAAAUUCAGAAACACACCUCGGAAUUUAUUUACCUUUAAUGAAAUGACACAGCCACAGUCAAACUUUUGUGUAUCUAUCAUAUAUACUAAUAAUUCAUCGGUUUAAUUAAAUCGCUAUUAACACAGAUAUAUACAAAUAUAAAAUCAAUCUUGUGCUUUUAAGAUAACUUUGCCUAUUCUGUAAAAAUGUAGUUUUUAAAAAUCAAGGAGGGGCUAGAGAGAUGGCUUAGUGGUUAAGAACAUGUACUGCUCUUCAAAAGGACCAGAGUUCAAUUCCCAGCACCCAUACCACACCCAGCUCAUAGCCACCUAUAACUCCAGCUCCAGGGGAAUCAGAGGCCAGAGGCACUUGCAGUCACACACACUUACGCACACACAGACAUGCACAUACAUAGAAUUAAAAAUAAUUUUUAAAUUAAAAAUCGAAGUGAAGAGAAAAGAUAUCCACCUUUUGUAAGACUUUGGAAAACAGAUGGAAUUUGUCUUCUUCGGACAGAGAGCCAAGGGAGGAAACAUCAUGCCUGUGUUAUCAUCUCUGCCUUUUGGCUGAGAUGAUAUAUCCCAGGCUGUCAUUCACUUAGACUGUGACGUCACAUAAAUCAUCCACAUGACUUCACAGCAGGCCAGGCCAAAUGAUCUCCAAAACAGCUUCAUGUUUUAAAGUGUAUCCUCUCAACAAAAAUACACACCUACAGUUGGUACUGCGUUUUUUGAGCCCUAAAAACAAUAACAGCAUCUGUAUCUCUAAAUGUCUUUAAAUAAUAAUACACAGAAACAUGAGGGUUUGCUGAUGAACUCAUUACAGGGAACACCUGACAGAGAGGGCACAGCCAGACAUCGAAUGAAACAUGAACUAGGCCAAUUUGCCUGUUCGUUUUUAACCAACUAAAUGUAUCCAGUAAUUUCCAAACUUAAGUAACUUUCAUGUGAAAAUCUGUUUCCUGGUCCUGUAUUCAAAUACCAGUUAGGUUUAAUCAGAUAUUAUAAAGGUUCAGGGAAGUUACAGCCGUCAGAAGAGACAGCUUCCGGGGUUGGGGGUUGGUCUUGAUUCCUGAAAGAAUGAUGUCUGGAAUUUACCUUGAGAUGACAUGUUCAGGGGGGAAUUGAGAGAACUGACAGUAAACAUGACUGCUGCUAAAAAGGAUGCUGUUUUCUAUAACUCUGUUUGAGAUUUUCUCUACAUCAUUUUUUUUUUAAACAGAAACAAGCCUAGGGGCUGGAGAGAUGGCUCAGAGAUAGAAGUACUGGCUGCUCUUCCAGAGGUCCUGAGUUCAAUUCCCAGCAACCACAUGGUGGCUCACAAGCAUCUGUAAUGAGAUAUGGCAAUCUCUUCUGGUCUGCAGGCACACAUGCAGACAGAACACUGUACAUAGUAAAUAAAUAAAUCUUUAAAAAAGAAAGAAACAAACAAACAAACAAACAAGCCUAGCUGGGCAGCGGUCCCUUUCAUCUCGGCACUUGGGAGGCAGAGGCAGGCAGAUGGGUAUGUAUGAGUUCCAGGCCAGCCUGGUCUACACAGCAAGUUCCAGGACAGCCAAGGGUGUUACACAGAGAAACCUUCUCUCAAAAACCAGCCAACCAACCAAACAAACAAAGAUAAACAAGCCCAAAUACUAAGAUAUUCAAAAGUCAUAUGUUUUGGUCUCCACUUAUGUGAAAACUAUUAGUGAAAAAUCAAUGAAGCCAUUAUUCUUUGCCUGAUGAUUAUUUUUAUUUAAUGAAUAAGUAUUUUGUUGAGGACUGGUGCAAUGCUCUUGACUUUGAAUACUUAAUAAUUAUGGGGCACUGGUAACUCUAGAGUUUAGUUGAUUCAUCUGAAUUGUAGAAAGUUUAACAUCAGCCUUUUAUGUUAUACACUGGUUUAUUCACCCCAAAGUAGAUACAUGUUAUUGCCUUAUCAGUAAUUGGGCAUAUCAUAUAGUAUUUAAUAAACAAAUCUGGCUUCUCUCAUUACUUAGUCUACCAAACUGAUCUUUCCAAGGUUAACAAUAACCUCCAUGAUGCUAAGCCCAGAUGCCUUUGGUACAUGUUUAUUGUAUGUAUUUUCUCAGCAUCAUUGGUUGCAUCUUAUUUAUCAUGCACUUUGAAGCUUUCCUUAGUUCCUUUGACAGUGUGCUCUGGUUGCUCUCUUCUCUCUUUAGCCAUAUCUCCUUUCUUGGCUCACCCUCCACCCAGCCUUUAUAUGUGGUUGUUCUCUAAAACCCAAUUUUAUGGCCUUAGUUUUACUCUAAGCUCUUUGUGUGGUGCUAUCCAUUUCCCCUGCAAAUUCAUACCAAUAACCAGAUGCCCCAUCAAGUUCCCCUCCUGACAUACCCAUUGACUUGGAUAUCUCAAGGACACCUCAAACCAAAUAUAAAAGGCCAACUUAAGAGUGAAUAUUUAUUCCAAAGAAUGGCAUCACCAGCUCUCUAAUUAUUAAAGCUGGAAGCCUUGGGAUGAUUUUGAAAACUCUUCUUUUCUUUUUGAAAACUCCUCUUUUCAAUAAAAUUCAAUGCCAAAGUUUAUAAGACCUAGUCUCUAAAUAUUUUCCAAAAAAUACCCACCUGUUUCCUUUUUAUAAGAUUCACUUUAUUAUUUUAAUUACGUGUAGGUAUAUGUGUUUGCAUGUGGGUAUGUGCAUGUGGGUGUAGGCGUCUGCAGCAGCCAAAGGUGUCACACAUCCUGGAGCUGGAGCUGCAGUUACAGACGCUUGUGAGCUACCUGAUGUUUGUGCUGGGAACCGAACUCUGGUCCUCUGACACAACAAUAGGUGCCCUUAACCACUGAGCCAUCUCUCUAGCUUCCACUUCUUUCCCUCUUGACUGCAUCAGCUACAUCUAGUUUCACCACCUGAAACCUGGACCUAACCUUCUGACUUGCCUUGCUUUUCCUCCCAACUCACUCUCUGCUAUACAAGCAGACUGACGCUUUAAAACGACAUUGUGCAGAUCAGAGAUCUAGCUCCGUUGUUGGAGUGCCUGCCUCGCACGCACGAAAACCAGCACCAACCACAUAAACCAGCUUUGGUGGCCGGCGGCUUGUCACUGCAGCACUUGGGAGCUGAUGGAAAGGGAACCAGAAGUUAAAGGCCAUCCUCAGUUCGAUGGCAAGUUGGAGGCCACCUGCUAAAUUUGAGACCCUGUCUCAAAUAAAUGAACGAUCAUUCUUGAGGCUGGAGAAAUGGUUCAGUGGUUCAAAGCCCUGGCUGCUAUGGCAGAGGACCUGGGUUCAAUUCUCAAUACCCCCAUGGGGCGGUUCAGUUGUCUGAAAUUCCAGUCCCAUGGGAUCCAGUGCCCUAUUCCAGCCUCCAUGGACAUCAUAUGCACAUGGUACACAGACAAACAUGCAAGCAAAAUACCUGUACACAUAAAAUAAAAAUGAAAACACAACAAAGCAUUCUAAGCAGAUCUCAUUACCACCUCUUAAUCUCUUCACUACUCUGAAAGACUAACAUCUCAAAGCUCUCUACCAGGUCUCACUUGAUCUGGCCCACAGUUCACAUUCAUGGACAGCAUCUUAUGCCCUCCACCUCAGCGCUCCCACAUCUCAGCACUUCCUUCCAUUACUCCAACGUUUCAUGCUCCUCCCCAGACUUUGGCUUUUACAUAUAUUCCUGACUCAAUUCUGAAAAAACAUGCCACAACCCACUCACCUUCAGUCAACUCCCACUUAUGUUUUAGAAUCUAUCACAAAUGUCAUUCAAAAGGCAUAAAAGAAUUCUCUCAUAACUAGACAAAGUUAAAAUUUACAGUAUGUAUUCACAUCAAAUUUUAAAGAUUUUUAUUUGUGUGUGUGUUGCUGGUGAUGGAGGUCAGGGCCUUUUUGCAAACUGAACAUGGACUCUACUGCUUGAUCUGCAAUCCCCUGACCCAACUCAAAGCCAUAAAGCAAAUUUAUAAUAUACAUAAUUCAGUUUUGUUAACAUGGAAGCAUUAAAGAAAAAAAAACUGUUCAAAGUGUUCUUCCAAGAAAAAAAUAUGUGUAAUAGUAAGCAUUCUAACAAUAUUUAAAAUUUUUUAUAGAUUCAUUAAAUUUUAUUUUCUAAAAAAUACGUUUUCCUGCAGAAUACUAAAAUAUAAAAGAGAUCAAUCUUAAGAUUACAUCUUAAAAAAUCAUCUCUCACUAUAAGGUAGUUUUUAGGGAUCCCAAGAGAAAAAAAAAUGUGAUAGGUGACCCAUAAACAGAACACUUAGCACCCAAGUUAAAAAGAGCAAAGUGUUGGGCUGGAGAGAUGGCUCAGAGGUUAAGAGCACUGACUGCUCUUCCAGAGGUCCUGAGUUCAAUUCCCAGCAACCACAUGAUGGCUCACAACCAUCUGUAAUGAGAUCUGGUGCCCUCUUCUGGCCUGCAGACAGACAUACAUGCAGACAGAACAUUGUAUACUAAAUAAAUAAAUCUUUAAAAAAAAAAAAAAAAAAAAAAAAGAGCAAA
Long non-coding RNA from Peromyscus californicus insignis, 5577 nucleotides. RefSeq lists it as uncharacterized. The transcript has 2 exons. NCBI's taxonomy places the organism in Eukaryota, Metazoa, Chordata, Mammalia, Rodentia, Cricetidae. The record is from RefSeq and is a predicted model, not a curated record.